Molecule: long non-coding RNA, 368 nt
Organism: Dromaius novaehollandiae (emu)
Lineage: Eukaryota; Metazoa; Chordata; Aves; Casuariiformes; Dromaiidae
Exons: 2
Source: RefSeq, a predicted model, not a curated record
UCUGCUUCCAUGUUUAUCUUGAAGUGGGUCCACUCUUCUUGACUGGAAGGUCUGGUUUAUAAUUAAGCUGAUAAAGGCGUUUCACCCCAGAAGUUUAAGUGUAUUCCAGAAAGUAGGCAUAGUUACUAGAAUGUCAAAAUACAUCUAAACAGGAUCGACCUAUGCCAAAACCACAUAGGGUUUCACUUAUUGAUACUGAAUCAAGGAAGCUAGUGGAGGAGUGCAAAAGACUUCAGGCAGAAGUUACGAAGCUGUUGGAUGAAAAUCGGCACCCGAGAUGAUUGAGAUCUUGUCAUUGUUAUGGAUGAGGUACUGGAGAUACACCAUUUUCUUCUUAAACAAAAAGCAAUAAAGAUGCUCCCUUUUAA